This 495-nucleotide ribosomal RNA is filed under the name uncultured bacterium. RNAcentral describes it as "partial 16S ribosomal RNA". It matches the Rfam family "Bacterial small subunit ribosomal RNA", at positions 28 to 507 of the family's 1533-position model. The record is from RNAcentral.
GAUGAACGCUGGCGGCGUGCCUAAUACAUGCAAGUAGAACGCUGAAGGAGGAGCUUGCUCUUCUGGAUGAGUUGCGAACGGGUGAGUAACGCGUAGGUAACCUGCCUGGUAGCGGGGGAUAACUAUUGGAAACGAUAGCUAAUACCGCAUGACAACAGUUAUUGCAUGAUAACUGUUUAAAAGGGGCAACUGCUCCACUACCAGAUGGACCUGCGUUGUAUUAGCUAGUUGGUGAGGUAACGGCUCACCAAGGCGACGAUACAUAGCCGACCUGAGAGGGUGAUCGGCCACACUGAGACUGAGACACGGCCCAGACUCCUACGGGAGGCAGCAGUAGGGAAUCUUCGGCAAUGGACGGAAGUCUGACCGAGCAACGCCGCGUGAGUGAAGAAGGUUUUCGGAUCGUAAAGCUCUGUUGUAAGAGAAGAACGAGUGUGAGAGUGGAAAGUUCACACUGUGACGGUAUCUUACCAGAAAGGGACGGCUAACUACGUG